UACGGGGGGAGCAAGCGUUGUUCGGAUUUACUGGGCGUAAAGGGCGCGUAGGCGGCCACCGCAAGUCGACUGUGAAAUCUCCGGGCUUAACCCGGAAAGGUCAGCCGAUACUGCGGGGCUAGAGUGCAGAAGGGGCAACUGGAAUUCUCGGUGUAGCGGUGAAAUGCGUAGAUAUCGAGAGGAACACCUGCGGCGAAGGCGGGUUGCUGGGCUGACACGUGACGCUGGAGGCGCGAAGCUAGGGGAGCGAACGGGGAUUAGAAACCCCCAGUAGGU
This 276-nucleotide ribosomal RNA is filed under the name uncultured bacterium. RNAcentral's name for it is "partial 16S ribosomal RNA". It matches the Rfam family "Bacterial small subunit ribosomal RNA", at positions 524 to 794 of the family's 1533-position model. The record is from RNAcentral.